Molecule: long non-coding RNA, 4171 nt
Filed under: Olea europaea subsp. europaea
Lineage: Eukaryota; Viridiplantae; Streptophyta; Magnoliopsida; Lamiales; Oleaceae
Source: RNAcentral
CUUUUUGAUGUCUUCACCCUUAAUUCUUCCUCGUCCAUUCUUUCUUUAGCUUCAUGAGGCUCAAAUCCAUGGAGUUUUCCUUUCGAAAUAAUAAAGAAAGUAUUGUAAACACAAAGAAUAUUUCUAUACUAUUAAUAGCCAUAACAUUAAUUCUCCUAACUGUUGUUCAUCUAAAUUAUCCAUUUUUGAUGUACUCCUCAAAGAAUCCUGCAGAAAUUGAUGAAUCCGUAAAGAUUAAGGAUCAAGAUUAUGAAAAGUGUGACAUUUCUACGGGUGAAUGGGUUCCGAAUCCCGAGGCGCCAUACUACACGAAUAUGACUUGUUCGUCAAUCCAUGAGCACCAGAACUGCAUGAAAUAUGGAAGGCCAGAUAGAGAUUUCAUGAAAUGGAAGUGGAAACCAGAUGGAUGUGAUUUGCCUGUUUUCAAUCCUUAUCAAUUUCUGGAUAUUGUGAGGGGCAAAUCCAUGGCCUUUAUUGGAGACUCUGUGGGGAGGAACCAAUUGCAGUCCUUGAUAUGCCUCUUAUCCAGGGUAAUUAUAUAUGUAUAAUAUUUCAUUUUUCACAAGUAAUUAGAUACCCUGGUAUGUUGCAAUGCAUGAUUUGUUCAAGACGAUUUAAGCAUUACACCUUUUUCUUCCUUUUUGUUUUUGGGUGUGGGUUGCCUGAUUAGAGGUAAGGGUAUUAAAUGGGGUGAGCUGAGCAACUCGAAUUGUUUGCCAUCAGGUUCGACUCGGCUCACUCUAGGCUCACCCCUGGUUAGGAUGAGCGGAGAUGGCUCGCCAAUUUUUUUAGCUUAAAUUAUUAUUUCACCCAUUAUGACAAGUCAACUCGUAGCUCGUGAGCCAACUCGCACAAACAAUUCGAUGAGCUCAUGAGUUAACUCAUGCGAGCCAACGAAUGAGUUGCAAGAAGAUUUCAGUGUUCAGCUCGCCCCUUAACACUGCUAGUUGGGGGACUAUAGAUUGAAGUGAUUAACUAGUAGAUAAUUGUUUGCUUAGAAGUUACUCCUGUUGCUUGUUAAUUGAGCUUCAUCUAAAGCUAAUUUUGCAUUAUAUACUAGGAUAUAAUUGGUAUCAUAUGAAUUAUUACUACUAUUCACUACAUAUAGCAUGAUGAAAAUGUUAAUCUUCUUGAUUAAGUUUUUUCUUCUCUUCCUUUGGUUUAACUUGAUUAAUUAGUUCAUUCUACAUUAUGUCCAUUUCCAAAGAGGUCAAGUAUACUGGUUAGUUUUGUUGGGAAAAAUGGGUGAUUUUUGUGUAGAUAUUUAUCAUAAUAACAAACAUUAAUAUUUAUAAUUCAACUAUUAUCAUAACCAUAAUAAUUCAAUAAUAACAUGAACAUAAAAUAAGUAGAGAAGAGUUAGAAAAAAAGGAAGUCUUGGGAGCCACAUAGAAGAGGUUGUCCUAAAGUUAUGUUACCUACCUUUUGUGCGAGUACUUUCGGUACUACACGGCUCCAUGAUAAAAUCCAUAUGACUCACAGUCAGUUUUCUUUCUGUGGCCACGACCACAAAGAGAUAAAGAUUGGGCCUCCCAUCGAGUUGCCAAAAACUAUAGAAAUAUAAUAUAAAAUAUAAAUGUAGUAUUUUGUUUUUCCUUGUAUCUCUAGUUUUUUUCUUCAAUGAAAAAACUCCCUUGUAUAUGGAUAAAUUUAACCCCCACAAUUAAACCAUUAAAAUAUAAGCUAUGUAUGAACUAUAAUGUUUUAAUUUUAUGUUAGAACUUAAAAUUAAAGUGUUUUAAUUUUUGAAAUUAAAGGUCGAAACUUAUUUCAAGUUACAACAAGUUCACCUAAGAAUUAAUGCUAGAAUAUGAAAAGUGAAGAAAAAUCUACCCAAAUUUAUGUGGAUUUCGACGUCUACUGUGGGAUAAGACUGUUGUAUUAAUAGUAUGCACUGCCGUUGUGCUUGAGAACCUAAGGCUGAAAACACAAAGCAAAAAGGCUCAAAUAUAUUAAUAUUUUAGAAUACACUUCCAUUUAAUUCGAAAAUAUUAGCAGAUUGGAUUCGAUAAUGUACAAAAUUUAAUAGCAAAUGAAGUAAUUUAUGAAUUAGUUAUGUUUUCAUUUUCUGUACGUCAACUGUAAGUUGGCUUGAUGUAUUGGCUUACCCCGUUUGGUACCCAUUUUUAUAAAAAUGAGAAUGAAAAAUAUAGUCGUUACAAGAUCCACAGAAAAGAUAGAAAGUUAAAUAUGGUGACUUGAUGUGAUAGAUAACGAUUAUAUUUUUCAUUUUUUUAGCCAAAGAAUGAGAAUUAAAUGGGGUAAUAUAGCAAAUCAAAUUAUUAAUUAACAUCUACAUUUACACUUAAUUUUAAAUAAUUGUUUUUUGGAAAAUAAAAGACUAUGAAAUAUUUGAUUGAUCUGAAAAAUUAUUUUUCCCAUAAUAGGAUAUUUAAAUAAUAAUUACUAGAAGUAGGUGACGAAGUAGAGGGAAUCUAAGCGUGGGAACCUAAGUUCCUAUACAAUUACUAGAUCUAGAAAAUUGUUGUUUACACAGAGUUGGUCACUAACCCUUUACCCAACACACGACUAAAGCUUCCUUUUAUAAUUUCUAGGAUUAGGUAUAUAUCAUUCAUUUCAUGCUCUCGUUCAAAUCAAACCACUUUGUCUACGUGUAUGUAUGUCCCAUUCUUUUCAUAAAAUGAAUUUUUGAAUAGUGUAUUGAUGAGAAAUGUGUGAUUAAAAAAUAAAGAAAAGUUUUGAAUUUGUGUGUAAUAUUAUUUUAUUGAAAAAUAUGUGGUUGAAAUAAUUUUAAAAUACUGUUUAAGAAUGUAUUUUUUUAAAAGAACGUAGCUCAAACACGGGUAUAAUUCUUACAAUUUUUUUCUGAAACAUCAAUAUUCUGUAAUUUAUUAUAGGAAAAGCCAAACAAUGCAUGUGCUGAACUUGCUGGAAAAUGUUGGUAAAUAUCAGAUGAAUCAUGGGGACCCUUUAAUUAGUUUGUCAUCUUUAGUCAUGUCUACUUAGUUUGUAGGGCAUAUGAACAUUUAAAAAAAAAAUGUUUGAUUUUUAAUUUCUUGUGCAUCUAAGUGUUCAAAUUAUUCAUAAUUGUUAUGUGUUAUUAACUCGUUUAGUAUGUUCAAGAAUUUCAAGUCAUUUUUUCUGCUCUUAGAUUUUCAAAAAUUUCAGGUUGAAAAUCCAAUCAACGUUUCACAUACUGAGGAUGAACAUUUCAGAAGUUGGAACUACGUGAGUUACAACUUCACCCUAGCCAGCUAUUGGACACCCUUUUUGGUGAAAUCCAAAGAGGCAGACCCUGAUGGUCCAACUCAUACGGGCCUAUUCAAUCUCUACCUUGACGAGGUUGACAAGUCGUGGACUAACCAUAUAGAUGAAUUCAACUAUAUUGUCCUCAACGCGGGUACCUGGUUUUACCGGCCAUCCAUGUACUAUGAAAAUAGGCGCCUCGUGGGCUGUCGCUUCUGCCAAAUUCCAAAUGUUACGGACUUUCCAACCACUUACGGUGCCCGAAGGGCGUUCAAAACAGCUUUUAAAGCUAUAAACAGUUUAGAAAACUUCAAAGGUGUAACAUUUUUAAGGACUUAUACACCAUCCCACUUUGAGAAUGGGUUGUGGAACCAAGGUGGGAAUUGUGUAAGACAGAGGCCUUUUAGAAGCAAUGAGAUUAUUUUGGAAGGUGCAAAUUUGGAUCUUUAUAUGACUCAAAUUGAGGAAUUUAGGAUUGCAGAAAGAGAAGGGAAGAAGAAGGGGUCCAGUUUCAGAUUAAUUGAUGUAACACAGGCUAUGUUGUUGAGGCCAGAUGGGCACCCCAGUAGAUAUGGGCAUUGGCCACAUGAAAAUGUAGUCAUGUAUAAUGAUUGUGUGCAUUGGUGUUUGCCGGGACCUGUUGAUUCAUGGAAUGAUUUCUUGCUUCCUUUGUUGAAGAUUGAGCGCAGAAGAUCCCACAAGGAAAGAAAUUCUCUACCCUGACCAAAGACGAUUUUUCUCUUUUUAUCCAAUUCUGUUAAGUGUAUUCUUUUAAGAAAUAUUGGUUAUAUUUGCAACGUAUUUAAUGGAGCAAAUUUUUUUAAAAAUUGACCGAGUGUUAUCAUCUCUCAAUUUGCAAUCAACCAUUCUCUCUGAACAAUUUUCCUAUAGUCUCUCUUUGUUUUCUUUAGUAACUUUAAGGUCAUGGGUUCUAAGAACUCGAAUAGGCCCAAUCCUAUUACAA